Molecule: long non-coding RNA, 1422 nt
Filed under: Salmo salar (Atlantic salmon)
Lineage: Eukaryota; Metazoa; Chordata; Actinopteri; Salmoniformes; Salmonidae
Description: lncRNA (ENSSSAG00000105030.1)
Source: RNAcentral
GUGUGUGUGUGUGUGUGUGUGUGUGUGUGUGUGUGUGUGUGUGUGUGUGUGUGUGUGUGUGUGUGUGUGUGUGUGUGUGUGUGUGUGUGUGUGUGUGUGUGAUUGCAUUAACGUGCCCUUUCAUUUGUGUACACUUACUGUGACAAUCUGUUUUCCUUUGUAGAAUAUGCCAGUUUGUUUUAAAGUAAGGUUUGGUAUGUAUACGUAUUUGACCAUAAUAUUUGACCCCCUAUUUCCGUACCUCUAUUUUCCCAGUCCACCUCUCUGUCUUCAGUCCCUUGUUGAUCUCAAGAUACUGCUGUAGCUCGCAGAGAAAAAAACAAGUAAUUUCUAAUCUCUAUCCAUGGUCAAAAUGUAUAUUUAGUGGGUUGGUGCUUUUAGACUGUUUUAUCGAUGCACCAUUACAGCCCGUUUAGAGUGAUGACAACAUAGUAUAAUACAUCUUCAGUUGUGUUUAUCAUUUAACUACGUCAAUCACCAGCAUGCAUCACUCUCCUCCAUUACCUAGUGACUAGAGCACGUACCGGCAUAUUUCCUCAACCCAACCUUGACAGAGGGCAGAGGGGAGGAGGGGAGAGAGGAGAGGAGAGAAAGAGAGGGAGAGCGAGAGGAGAGAAAGAGAGAGGAGAGGAGAUGAGAUGAGGGAGAGAGAGGAGGGGAGAGAAAGAGAGGGAGAGCGAGAAGAGAGAGAGAGAGAGAGAGAGAGAGAGGAGGAUUCUUAUUCAUGUGUUUUAGAGGUCAGAAUGAAAACCUGUGGUAAUGAUGUGUAUUGCUCCCCCACUGCGCUGGGGCAGGACAGAGACAUCUUGUGUUGUGCCUCUUUGUUCUUUGGCCAGGCAUAGCGGCAGCAUAGCAGCAGCAGGGUGUUAACCUGGAUAGAGGUAUCAAGUGGCCAAGUCCCCGGCUUCCAGGACUGAACCCUUUCCAAGGAGCUGGAUCGCUCGUGAAAUGAAAUAUCACCGGGACGAGGGUCAGGUCAGAGCGGCCCGCGUUCUGGUUCACCCCUCUCCUCCGUUCCUCUUUCUGUUGUCUUCUUCUUCUUACUUCCUCUGCUUUUUGGUAGACGCAACCGACUACUAAUGCCAAACAUCAGCGGCCUCUCCAGACAAAUACUUGGAUCUGAGGUUAGCGAGGAUUAAAAGCCCUCUGAGGCGAUUCCUGAGGUAUCUUCAGAGCUCAGCUCCAGGCUGUCGACCUCUCUUUUCCUCAUCCCGUCUUUCUUCUUCUCUCCAGGAGAAUGACCUCAUGUCUGGUCCACUGUCCAGCUCUAUUUCCUCUCUUCAUCCUCUCUCCCUCUCUUCAUCCUCUCUCCCUCUCCUCAUCCUCUCUCCCUCUCUUCAUCCUCUCUCCCUCUCCUCAUCCUCUCUCCCUCUCCUCAUCCUCGCUCCCUCUCUUCAUCCUCUCUCCCUCUCUUCAUCCUCU